CGGAGGGUGCAAGCGUUAUCCGGAUUUACUGGGUUUAAAGGGUGCGUAGGUGGGUCUGUAAGUCAGUGGUGAAAUCUUCGAGCUUAACUCGGAAACUGCCAUUGAUACUAUAGGUCUUGAAUCAUCUGGAGGUGAGCGGAAUAUGUCAUGUAGCGGUGAAAUGCUUAGAUAUGACAUAGAACACCGAUUGCGAAGGCAGCUCACUACGGAUGUAUUGACACUGAGGCACGAAGCGUGGGAUCAAACAGGAUU
Molecule: ribosomal RNA, 252 nt
Filed under: uncultured bacterium
Lineage: Bacteria
Description: partial 16S ribosomal RNA
Rfam family: Bacterial small subunit ribosomal RNA
Source: RNAcentral